Molecule: long non-coding RNA, 440 nt
Organism: Zootermopsis nevadensis
Lineage: Eukaryota; Metazoa; Arthropoda; Insecta; Blattodea; Termopsidae
Source: RefSeq, a predicted model, not a curated record
ACUGCCUCCGUCAUCAGGGUGAUGAAUAUUCAUACUCACCGCUGUGAAAACCUCAAAUCUUACAAAUGAUUAUUAGAUGGUGCUGACAGUAGAUUGGUGAAGAAAAAGUAUGAAUAAUGGAUUGGAAAGGAUAUGGGAGACAAAGCAGUUGUGGCCUAAUGGAAGGUACUAUCCUGACAUCUGCCUGGAAGGACUGAGGGAAAUAUGGAAAACCUCAGUCAGGAAAGCUGGUCUCAGGGCCAAAAUUUGGACCCAGGAAGCUCCAAGACAUGAAGUAAUGAUCACAUAGUUUUGACAUUUGGUUCAGUGAUCAUGAGUUUUAACAAUAACAAUAGAAACUCAAAUUAAAUUGCAUUAGAAUUUUUCCAGAACUGCUGGUUAUCAUGUCCAUAGUAUGUGUAAGGAUAUGUCCACCAAAUAAAAAAAUAAUGCAUAAACUG